Molecule: non-coding RNA, 397 nt
Organism: Phyllostomus hastatus (greater spear-nosed bat)
Lineage: Eukaryota; Metazoa; Chordata; Mammalia; Chiroptera; Phyllostomidae
Source: the annotation of a RefSeq genome assembly
AUGCCAUGUGGUGUGUUCGGCGGAGGGACCCAUCUGACCGUCCUGGGUCAGCCCAAGUCCGCACCCUCAGUCACUCUGUUCCCGCCCUCCACUGACGAGCUCGGCAACAACAAGGCCACACUGGUGUGUCUGGUCAGUGACUUCUACCCGGGAGCCGUGACAGUGGCCUGGAAGGAAAAUGGCAGCCCCGUCUCCCAGGGCGUGGAGACCACCAAGCCCUCCAAGCAGAGCAACAACAAGUAUGCGGCCAGCAGCUACCUGAGCGUGUCAGCCAGCAAGUGGAAAUCUGCCAGCCAGUACAGCUGCCAGGUGACCCACGAAGGCAGCACUGUGGAGAAGACAGUGGUCCCCUCGGAGUGUUCCUAGGACACUGAGCCCCCCACAUUCUGGGACUCUG